Molecule: ribosomal RNA, 264 nt
Filed under: uncultured bacterium
Lineage: Bacteria
Description: partial 16S ribosomal RNA
Rfam family: Bacterial small subunit ribosomal RNA
Source: RNAcentral
UACGAAGGGGGCUAGCGUUGCUCGGAAUCACUGGGCGUAAAGCGCACGUAGGCGGACUCUUAAGUCGGUGGUGAAAUCCUGGAGCUCAACUCCAGAACUGCCUUCGAUACUGAGAGUCUCGAGUCCGAGAGAGGUGAGUGGAACUGCGAGUGUAGAGGUGAAAUUCGUAGAUAUUCGCAAGAACACCAGUGGCGAAGGCGGCUCACUGGCUCGGUACUGACGCUGAGGUGCGAAAGCGAUGGGGAGCAAACAGGGGAUUAAGAA